Molecule: long non-coding RNA, 452 nt
Organism: Peromyscus leucopus (white-footed mouse)
Lineage: Eukaryota; Metazoa; Chordata; Mammalia; Rodentia; Cricetidae
Exons: 2
Source: RefSeq, a predicted model, not a curated record
AGAACAUGGUGGUGUUCCAGAAGCCAAGAGAAGGGUGUGCUGAAAAAGAGCUGGCCAAAUGUCACAGAGUUAGAAGCCGGACAUGUCACAGUAGAAACAAUUAUUCCGAGAGUGGCCACUUAGGGGCUCCUCUGGAGUAUCAGCUUCCAGCAUUUCCCUGCAGCAACGGACAACUGUCUGGUAUAGGAUGCAACAGAAGGAAGACUCACUGCUCAAGUUUCCCAGACGUUUGCUCAGUUCGAGGCCAUCACCACUGCAUUUGGAGCAAGCAAGGCAUCUCAAAAGUUCAGGACUCCUUUGUUGUGAGGGAUAGACAGCAGGAGACGACCACAUGCUGCUUCCCUGACAUAAAGUGAUUUGGGGACUUCUUGGAUGUUGCGUAUUGCACUGAUGGCUUCACUUUAAGAAAACUCAAUAAUGAAAAAAAUAAAUGGAAAUCUAAAUUCUUGAGA